This is a non-coding RNA of Pelobates cultripes (western spadefoot toad), 202 nucleotides long. The record is from the annotation of a GenBank genome assembly. NCBI's taxonomy places the organism in Eukaryota, Metazoa, Chordata, Amphibia, Anura, Pelobatidae.
GGUUUGUGGACCUGCAUAUUCGCAGAUCCAAGACAGAUCAAGCCAGUGUUGGUGCGUGGCUCAGGGUGGGGAGCUCGGGGGGUGAGUAUUGUCCGGUCCGGCUCUUCCAGCAGUAUAUGGCGAGCCGGCCGGCGUCGGCCUCGCUGUUAGUGCAUGCGGAUGGGUCCCUGCUUACGCGUUUUCAGUUUGCGUCGAUGUUGGG